CUCUUAGUGCAGGAGUCACAACUGGCAAUUCCAAAGCUCCUAGAAGCUUCACAAGUUGGGACACAACUCCUGUUUUUCACAACCAAGUCAAUUUGUUCAUUUGGACCGGCAGUAAGGACGAGCAUCUGGUGUAUUAGCAUUCUCAUUGGUGGACAUGAUUAUGAGACAGAGGAAGAAAGCUGUGAAACGGGCCUGGGCUUCCACAGGAGGCUAUGCGGGGAUCGGCAGCUGUGGGGUGGCUGGGCUGAAAGCGACCACCUUGGCUCCGACUGAUUCCAUAUCUUCUGGAAGGUGCCACUAUGUUCCCUAGUGCCAGCCAUGAAAGCUGAUUGUGGUACACCUGGUCCAGCCACAGACUCUCAGGGAGCUGGCACCUGUGCCAGUGCCUGGAACUGCCCACCCCACUGCAGCUGGCAUGCCUGGCUGUGCACAGUGGCUGGACUGAAUGCUCGCUCACACACCCCUUGCUGCUCUGUGCCUGGCUUGCCCUUGGCAGGCAUGCAAUCCAGGUUCUUCCCGCCUGCUGCACAAACAACGUUCAUCUGCUGAGACCAUGACAUUGCAGUGAAGAAAGGGUUUAAUUAACACUUGGCUGGCCAUGCCACAUGGAAGACAGUUGUUACUCAAAUCAAUCUCCCCAGAAAUUUGUAGACUAGGGUUUUCCAAGGAGAGUUUGUUGGCCAAAGGGGUCCAGAAGGGGGCAUGGUGAUUGGUUGAGGAUGCAGUUAUGGGGUGUGGAAAAUGAUCCUCAUGUGCUGAGGCUGUUUCUGAGUGGGGUUUACUACAGGAGUCCAGGUCCAAUGUCUAGGUCCAUGUGAAACCAUCUUGGUUGUCAGAAAUGCAAAGCCUUAAAAGACAUCUCAAAAGGUCAAUCUUAGGUUCUACAAGAGUGAUGUUAUCUGCAGGAGUAAUUGGGGACGUUGUAAAUUUUGGGAUCUCCAGAAUAAUGACUAGUAAUUAUCUAACUAGGCCUACAUCUAGGAGAAUUCAGGUGCCUUUCAUCCUCCUAACUUUGUGGCCUUUCGUUAGUUUUACAAAGGAAGUUUAGGUUUUGGGAAGGGCCAUUAUCAUUUAAACUGUAAACUAAAUUUCUCCCAAAGUAAGCUUGGUCUAUACCCAGGAAUGAAUGAAGGCAGCCAGCCUGUGAGGCUAGAAGCAGGAUGAACUCAGCCACAUCGGGUAUCUCUUAUUGUCGUAGUUUUGCAAAGGCAGUUUCAGUUUUGGUGCCACAUUUGAGAAAUAUUUUGCCUCUUCUAAGCUCAUGAAGACAUUAUCCUAUAUUUCUUACAGAAACUUGAUUUUCUCAGCUUUCAUGAAGUAGGGGGCCAAGGGUUCUUGUUUAUAUGCCUGGUGCGGUGACCCAGCACCACGUACCUUUCCCACUGAAUUGCAAUGGAGUUCCCUCUCUCCCCUUUAAGGUGUGGGAGACUUGUGGGUCUGUUUCCGAACUCCUCUUCCUAUUGCACUGGUCUGUCUCCAUAUUCUAGAAUCAGUACUGCACUGUCUUAAUUUCUGUAGUUUUCUAAAAGGCUUUCUAUUCAUGGUUUAAAUAUGUGAGCUUUGGUCUACUUCCCUAUGUCCUUGGGCAUCUAGGCUCUUUGUAUUUCCAUACACAUUUUAGAAUCAGCUUGUCUGCUUGGAGUGAGCCUAGCCAGUGGGGAAAAAAAAGAAGAAUCAGCUUGUCAAUUCCGCCCCCCCCCGCCCCCCCCACCAACACAACAACAGAAAACCAAGGGAGUUUUACUGGGAUUACUUUUAAUUACAUUGAAUCUAUAGAUCAAUUUUGGGAGAAUUGACAUCUUAACAACAUUGAGUUUCCAGUCAAUGAACAGGAUACAUCUUAUUUACUUAAGUAUUUCAAACAUUUUCUUAUUAAUGUUUUGCAGUUUUUGGUAUAAAAGUUUUACACACUUCUCAUUACAUUUAUAUAGUGACCUUGAUAAAUUAUUUUAUGAAUAGUCUGUUUCUAGGUUUAUUUGAAUUUUACCAGUUGGUUUUUCUCAUUUGUUUUGUUAAUACGAACAACCACAUUGACUUUUAAAUGUUAAACUACCCUUUUAUUCCUGAAAUAAACUACCCUUGUUCAAGAUGUAUUAUCCUUUUUCAUAUGUACUUGCAUUCGAUUUACCAAAAUUUUCUCCUAUGUUCAUGAAAUAUAUUAGUUUGUGGUUUCCUUUUUUAAAAUAAUGCACUUGUAGGGUUAGAAAUAAAAAUUCUGAUGGC
Molecule: long non-coding RNA, 2223 nt
Organism: Callithrix jacchus (white-tufted-ear marmoset)
Lineage: Eukaryota; Metazoa; Chordata; Mammalia; Primates; Cebidae
Source: Ensembl